Molecule: long non-coding RNA, 431 nt
Organism: Rhipicephalus microplus (southern cattle tick)
Lineage: Eukaryota; Metazoa; Arthropoda; Arachnida; Ixodida; Ixodidae
Source: RefSeq, a predicted model, not a curated record
AGGUAAUGGAACACGAAAGCAGCUCUAGAACGUGCGCUUUUUUUUCCGUGAAAUACUCCGAGCAGCCGACUGUGGCUUCUGGCCGAGUCUCGAGGGCCAGAACGAGAGCAACAUCUCGGGGGACAAACACUGAAUAUGAUAUUCGAAUAAAGAAUUCCAAUGGGGAAAGUUCUAUGGCAAAGACUUGUUUUGAAGAGCUGAAAAGUGGCUUGAAGUCUGUUAAUAUGAACCAAGAUCUUCAACUUGAGCAAAUGUUCAAUAGCUGCAAAGCAGCGUGCCGAAGUACCGUAGGCUGUUCUGAUCUCUUGGGAGAGCAGCUGGUGGAAAGCUCUGCAUCUUGAAUAAAAAAGCUCCUCACUUUGUGCCAAUUUUCAUUGUAACUUGCAGAGUGGAAAAAAAGAAAGAAAUCACCAAUAAAUGGAAAUUACCCG